RNAcentral lists this ribosomal RNA (302 nucleotides) under uncultured Pseudomonas sp. RNAcentral's name for it is "bacterial SSU rRNA". It matches the Rfam family "Bacterial small subunit ribosomal RNA", at positions 1080 to 1382 of the family's 1533-position model. Lineage: Bacteria; Pseudomonadati; Pseudomonadota; Gammaproteobacteria; Pseudomonadales; Pseudomonadaceae. The record is from RNAcentral.
UUAAGUCCGUACGAGCGCAACCCUUGUCCUUAGUUACCAGCACGUUAUGGUGGGCACUCUAAGGAGACUGCCGGUGACAAACCGGAGGAAGGUGGGGAGUGACGUCAAGUCAUCAUGGCCCUUACGGCCUGGGCUACACACGUGCUACAAUGGUCGGUACAAAGGGUUGCCAAGCCGCGAGGUGGAGCUAAUCCCAUAAAACCGAUCGUAGUCCGGAUCGCAGUCUGCAACUCGACUGCGUGAAGUCGGAAUCGCUAGUAAUCGUGAAUCAGAAUGUCACGGUGAAUACGUUCCCGGGCCUU